Molecule: ribosomal RNA, 661 nt
Filed under: Enterococcus faecium
Lineage: Bacteria; Bacillati; Bacillota; Bacilli; Lactobacillales; Enterococcaceae
Description: partial 23S ribosomal RNA
Rfam family: Bacterial large subunit ribosomal RNA
Source: RNAcentral
GGAAAGGAUGUGAGAUUUCUAAGACAACUAGGAUGUUGGCUUAGAAGCAGCCAUUCAUUAAAAGAGUGCGUAAUAGCUCACUAGUCGAGAGAUCUUGCGCCGAAAAUGUAACGGGGCUAAACUUACCACCGAAGCUACGGGCUUGAACUUAGUUCAAGCGGUAGGAGAGCGUCGUAACCGGGCUGAAGUCGUACCGUAAGGAGCGGUGGACUGGUUACGAGUGAGAAUGUUGGCAUCAGUAGCGAGAUGUGGGUGAGAAUCCCACAGGCCGAAAACCUAAGGUUUCCUCAGGAAGGUUCGUCCGCUGAGGGUUAGUCGGGACCUAAGCCGAGGCCGAAAGGCGUAGGUGAUGGACAACUGGUUGAUAUUCCAGUACCACUAUCAUCGUUAUUAUCGAUGGAGUGACGCAGGAGGAUAGUGUGUGCUAGCUAUUGGAUGCUAGUCUAAGCGUUUAGGCAGUGAGAGUAGGCAAAUCCGCUCUCAUAAUGCUGAGGCGUGAUGGGGAAGGUUCUACGGAACCGAAGUACAUGAUUCCACGCUGCCAAGAAAAGCGUCUAGAGAGAGAAGUAGUGCCCGUACCGCAAACCGACACAGGUAGGUGAGGAGAGAAUCCUAAGGCCGGCGGAAGAAUUACAGUUAAGGAACUCGGCAAAUUGACCCC